Molecule: ribosomal RNA, 567 nt
Filed under: Syngnathus leptorhynchus (bay pipefish)
Lineage: Eukaryota; Metazoa; Chordata; Actinopteri; Syngnathiformes; Syngnathidae
Also listed under: 1 other name
Description: partial large subunit ribosomal RNA
Rfam family: Bacterial large subunit ribosomal RNA
Source: RNAcentral
CGCCUCUUGCAUUAUAUGUAUAAGAGGUCCCGCCUGCCCUGUGACUAUAUGUUUAACGGCCGCGGUAUUUUGACCGUGCAAAGGUAGCGCAAUCACUUGUCUUUUAAAUAAAGACCUGUAUGAAUGGCAUGACGAGGGCUUAACUGUCUCCUUCUCCCGGUCAAUGAAAUUGAUCUCCCCGUGCAGAAGCGGGGAUAUUAUUAUAAGACGAGAAGACCCUGUGGAGCUUUAAAUGAUGAGAGAUUUUAUGCAACAAACCUAAAAAGGUAUAAGCGAAUUUAUACUCCCUCUAAUAUUUUUGGUUGGGGCGACCGCGGAGUAAAAAGAAACCUCCGUGAGGAAUGAGGUAAUUAACCUUAAAUCCCAGAACGACAAUUCAAAGAAACAAAAUUUUUGACCUAAAGAUCCGGCAAAGCCGAUCAACGAACCUAGUUACCCCAGGGAUAACAGCGCAAUCCCCUUCAAGAGUCCCUAUCGACAAGGGGGUUUACGACCUCGAUGUUGGAUCAGGAUAUCCUAAUGGUGUAGCCGCUAUUAAGGGUUCGUUUGUUCAACGAUUAAAAUCCU